This 253-nucleotide ribosomal RNA is filed under the name uncultured bacterium. RNAcentral's name for it is "partial 16S ribosomal RNA". It matches the Rfam family "Bacterial small subunit ribosomal RNA", at positions 524 to 776 of the family's 1533-position model. The record is from RNAcentral.
UACGUAGGGACCGAGCGUUGUUCGGAUUCAUUGGGCGUAAAGGGUGCGUAGGCGGCGCGGUAAGUCGGGUGUGAAAUCUCGGAGCUUAACUCCGAAACUGCAUUCGAUACUGCCGUGCUUGAGGACUGGAGAGGAGACUGGAAUUUACGGUGUAGCGGUGAAAUGCGUAGAUAUCGUAAGGAAGACCAGUGGCGAAGGCGGGUCUCUGGACAGUUCCUGACGCUGAGGCACGAAGGCCAGGGGAGCAAACGGG